This 68-nucleotide transfer RNA is filed under the name Neptuneopsis gilchristi. RNAcentral's name for it is "tRNA-Ser". The record is from RNAcentral. Lineage: Eukaryota; Metazoa; Mollusca; Gastropoda; Neogastropoda; Volutidae.
UAAGCUAGUCCCUGGGGGCAAUAUUGUUUUGAAAACAAAUUUAAAGUGUUCGAUUCACUUACUAGCUU